UUUCUCGGGAUAUGAUAUGCUGGAGUGCGGUAAUUGCAGAUGCAGCGGUGAGAAUGGGAUCGACAGUCACGUGUGGGUUCGCCGCAUGCCCUCCCUUUCCUUGUAUUGUGGCUGAGAAUCUACCAGCCCCUGCUAGCAUUGGACCAGGUCUCGAACCGACGCUGCCAGUUUCCAAAAGCGGCAAAACAUGUAAGCCAAAGAUGGCUUGGAACUGAUCGAGUGCCCCUUCUCGUAGCAUAUGGUAUGCACCGGCACGACCUUCUUCUCCGGGUUGGAAGACGAGUUUGAUCGUGCCCUUUCAGAAGACAAUGCCCAAAAAGAGAUCAGUCACCAAAGAUCGAACUGGGGAUUAGUAAUUAGAUUCUUCUAAGUUGCUCUGGACUAUAAUUUUACCUUCAAAGAAUCCUUCUUGCUGCUGAGCAAUCUGGCUGCUCCUAGAAGCAUGGUUGUAUGAGCAUCAUGACCACAAGCAUGCAUUUUGCCAUCGUUCUUGCUCUUAUGUUCCCACUCUACCAAUUCCUUAGCUCGAUCAAGGGGAAAAAAAGGGUGUUACUGACAUUAAAAUUGCUGCAUUUCGGUAUACAGUUACUUAACAAGACGAAGAUAUAUGGGGUCAGUACUCCUUAUAUCAGUAGGUGCAUGAUGGAAUCAAGGAGUUUACGAUCAAUAUUAUGUCUCGUUUAAUCUUGUUUGAAGCUAGGAAUAUGAGUAUGCAAACCCAAUUGCUCGCUAAGCCAGGAGCAAAACUUGGCUUCAAAAAUGGGUUCUUCAAUCCUAAGGAUGAGCAUAUAGAACCGCUUGAACCAGACCAGACCGGACUGAACUGACUGGUUUUAGGUGGUUCUAAGGGCACCGAUCCAGUUUCCAAUUCCAAAACCUAUAAUUUGGUUCUAGUCGAGAGCCGGACCAAACCUAAUUAUGUUUUUUAUAUAUAUUUUUUAAUUUCUUAAAGAAGUAAAGUGUAAGCCUAAAUUCUACUAUCCUUUUGCUUCUUUCAUAUUGCUGCAUCAAUUCAUCCAACUUGCUCAUUUUGUCUCUUGCUUCUUUCUAUAUUUUACUUUCUUUCUUUUCCUACAAAGAAUCAUCAAUUUAACCUCCAUCGUUUACUUGCACCUUCCUUAAACUGAAUCCUCCUCCUUUUUUCGAGGGUGCCUCUACAAUCAUGGCUCCAUCAUCUCUCAAUUUUCUUCACAAAUCUUGGACAAAAUCCCAAUGUCAGGUGGUCCCGUUUCCAGUUCUAGAAAUGGGGCAUCAAUCCUCUUAGUCCAGUUCGCAAUUUCAGGGUAGAAUCUGACCGGACUGGAAUUCAAUCACCCCUAAAUCAAUCCCCGCCUUCUCUUUUAGUUUUGUUGCUCAAAGAUGGGAUCCAUACGCGACGAAGAAUCCUUAUCCGAUCCAUCUGAUUCAGAUCAGAAUCUUCUAAAGCUACACAUGGAAAUCUCUUCGGUUGUCGUCGAGCUUUAAAAGAACAUGCUUUUGCUGUGUUGGAUGCGACGACCCCCGAGACCCACAAGCGGAAUCUUUCUACUGCAGAAAACCAAUUCCAACUUGGAAACCUAUGGAGAAACGACUUGCUCUCACGAUGACGGAGCGUUUGACUCUGAAAGUCUAGAGAGAGAGAGAGAGAGGAACCUGAACAGGGAGGGCGUCCAUGUCGGCCCGGAGAGCGAACCAGGGUUGGUCGCCCGACCCGAUCGACGCCACGACCCCAGUCUCGGCCACUGGCCACUUGUACUUGAUCCCGAGCGCGUCUAGUUCCGACCGGACGAGCCGACUCGUCUCGUGCUCUUGGAAAGCCAGUUCCGGUCGCUCGUGGAUCCUCCUUCUGACGCUCCUCAACCAGCCGAAGAACUCCGGCUCCCUCGCCGCCGCCAACAGCUGCCGCCCCAGAGAACUCAGCUCCAAAUCCGAACCCGUAUCCGACGUGGAUCCUGAAGCCCGUACGGUCUCACAGGCGAGCGCCGCCGCCGCCACCACCACCAGUAACGAGAUGAAACGGUUGUGGGGUUCCAUCGCUGCUUUUCACGAGGUUGCGAGAGGGAGGCGGAGGAGCGUCGGCGGCGUCGGUGGCGUCGGCGUCAGGGUGGGGGGCGAUGGAAGCAACCAGCGGAGGCGGAGGGCUCAACCUUUCUUCUCCAACAAACUCGCCUCCAAGCCUUCCGGUGUGUGAGGGUCUCGCUCGGCGGGUGACGCUCGCUGACGUUGAGGGGAGCUCGAAGAGGCCUGCUUCUCCUCCGCGUGUUGCAUCUGCGAUCCCGGGAACGCCGGAACGAAGACGACGGAGCAGCAACGAGCCCAAAGAGAGAAGCGAGCGAGCACCGCGGCCGUAAUGUGGUUCGUCGGCGACGGCAGGGGAACAGCCGCUUGAUGCACGGCGGAGCAGAAACGAGCACGGAGAGAGAGAAAUUUUCAGAUUCAAAUUUUCGAAAGGAAAAAAAAUGGAGAGGGACUGAGGAACGAACGAGGCUUCUCUUUCUUACGUUUGAGAAAGAAAGACAAAAGCUUAAACCGCAAUAAAUGCUCUGACAGGAGAGAGAGUGUGCAGGUUAGGAGGAGAGAGGGCUCGGCAGGCUAGGAAGAGGAGAGAGAGAGAGAGGUGAAGAAGGCAUAAGGCACUAAAUGGGCCCACCCCUCCACAUGGCACCUCGUGAGUGGCAGGGGACCACGCUGACGUGGAGCUCCCGGACCACCACCCAAUAUUUUCUCAAAGAAGUCACCUCAAAUUGCGCCACGUGUCCAACGUGGGCCCACAUUGUGUUCCAAUUUCUUCUCACUCUCCUCUCUCUUCUCUCUCCCUUCUCUGCACGCUCUCUCGCCCAACUCUCUCUCUCUCUCUCUCCGCCGCAGUUUCUCUUCGCCAUGCGAUAUUUUCUCGGGCGAGGAGAGCGGACGAACAGCCGGCCACGUGUCCAACGUGGGCCCACAUUGUGAGCCCAGUGAGAAAAUAUUGCACACCCUUUUCUCCAAAUUUCUUCUCACUUUUCUCUCUCCUCUCUCCCUAAUUUUAGGCGUGCAUUUAAUAACAUUUCUAUUUAAAAAUUAUUUCAGGGAACAGAAAUAGAAAAAAGUGUUUCUGUUCCGAGAAACAAUUUUUGAAUAAAAAAUGCAUUUGGUAAACUUGUUCCGAAAAUAAAAAAUGAACAGAAACACAUUUGAUGAAUUUGUGUUAUUUUUUUGUUUCUUUUAAUUUUUUAAUUUUUUAAUUUUAUUUUUCUCUAUUUUUCUUUUUUAUUUUUUUCUUCUUUUGCCCGGUCGCCGGCCUCAGCCAUGGUCGACGGCCUCGGCCAUGGUCAGCGGCCUCGCCCAGCCACGGUGAGCUCGACCUCGCUAGGGGCCGGCAACGCUUCAGCAAGGUCACCAGCCCUCAACGGCAUCGCCGGCCCUUAACGGCCGAUUGCCGGCCAUGGCUGAGGCCAGCGACCGGCCAAAGAAAAAAGAAAAAGAAAAGAAGAAAAAAAAAGAUAAAAAAGAGAGGAGAGAGAAAAUUUGUUCUUAAAUUUUGUUAUAGAAACAAGAAAUACGUUUUUCUUGUUUUUUUUUUUUUUUGUUUCAAAUGUGUUUCUAAGAACAAAAAAAUAGAUUUGGAACAAAAACGUAAACAAACAUGUUUCUGUUCUUUUUUUGUUCCCUAAAAUAAAAAAUAGAAAUUUUAUUCAUAAACAGAAAUAAAAAACGUUAACAAAUAGGGCCUUAUUUGCUACGUCGAGACGUGCUUAAUAUUUUCUCAACGGGAGAAGGACCCGUGCUUUUUAUCGAAUCAUCCUCAGAUACAUCGACGGGCACAAAAACCAUCAUGGGACUCGGUUUCUUGCUUUUGAUUUUUGGCUCUGUUCCGAAAAGGACCGCCCCAAAAUUUCUUGGUCUUCAUGACAGCGCAUCAGUAAAAUUAUUGUUGCAUAGGAUCCAACUUUUUUUCACCCGAAAUUAUUUAUCUUCCGAUCAUUCGGCCUCAAAAUUGUUAAGGGCCUUCGAUUUUGUUAUAAUUAAUGUUAUCAAUAAAUAUAAGCAAACAUUAUUAUUUUUCACAAAAUAUGGAGACAUUUUUUCAGGUAAUUGAAUUGAUUGCAUAACACAUCGUCUAUUUGCUUCUUGUUUAAAAAAUGAAAAUGUUGAGGGCAACACAUAAAUAUAAGAAAAUGGAGAAAAAAAGUGCUCGUCAAAUUUGAUAUUUUGUAGGAAAAUUAAUAAAAAAGUCAUAGACCUAUUGUAAUUAUGCCAAUUUAGUCUUAAACUUUUUUUCCCCAAUUCAGUUCUAAACCUUUUGCAUUUAUAUUAAUUGAGUCUAUUUGGCCAAUUUUAAUCAGGUGGAGCUGACGUGGCACUAUUGGUGCUAACAUGGCAUUUUUAAAAUAAUAUUUUGUUUUUUUAAUAAUUUUCUUUAAUUUUCCCCCCUUCCCCUUCCCCUUCCCCUUCCCCAUCCCUUAGAGCCGACGAGGGCAUCUUGCCCCUCGCCAACUCUCGGUGAGAGUGUUCCGGCCCUUGCCUAGUCGGGUGAGGGCUGUGAUGCCCUCACUUGAUCUACCCUCACUAGACCAGGUCAGGUGAGGUUGUUGUGGCCCUCACCUAGCUAGAUUUAGCGAGGGUGUUGCGGCCCUUGUCUAUGGCCAACGAAGGUCGAUUGAUGACUCUCGCUGGCUCAAAGGGGAAAGGGAAGGGGAAGAGGGAAAAAAUUAAGAUAUUAUUUUAAAAAUGCCACGUGAGCAUUUUUCUGGCCAAAAUUAACUGUAAUCACCCUCGCCUAUGGCUGACAAAGAUCAGCCGAUGACUCUCGCAGGCUUUAAGGAAAGGGGAAGGGGAAGAGGGAAAAAAUUAAGAUAUUAUUUUUAAAAAUGCCACGUGAGCGUUGGCUGACUAAAAUUAGCUAAAUGGACUCAACUGACGCAAAUGUAGAAAGUUUAGUACUAAUUAAAAAAAAUUAAGACUGAAUUGACACAAUUGCAAUAAGUUUAGGACUUUUAUGGUAAUUCUCUUGAUCUUUUUUCUCAUAAUAAUUUCAUCCACUAUUGAAAUGAAUGUGGACCUCCAAAUUUGAUAGCUAGAAUGCUACAAUCAUUAAAUGGUCCAAGUUUAGUAAAGUAAAAUGCUACAAUCAUGUAAUAACUAGAAUGAGGCCCUCGUGAUGUCGUGGGAAAAACUAAAUUUUUUAUGUAACAAAUUGUCAAGCCAAUGGAUUAUUUCAACAUCAUUAUCUUUCUUAGAAAGAAUGCUUUUGUUGAAACAUAAUUAUAUAUCAUUAGAUUUAGGCUUAAUCGUACCGUCUAACAACAAUAUCAUAAAACUCUAAUCUCUCAUCCUAAAUUUGAUUUUCAUAUAAUAAAUUCACAAAGGGAACAUUAAUGGAUUCAUUGGUGGAAAAAAGGGAAUUUAAAAUUACUCUUUGCUUAAAAGAAAAGUUAAAAAUUAACAAGGUUAUUUCACUAAUAGAUUCACAAAAGUAACAAAAUAAAGAGCAAAAAAAGGAAAAAAAAACUAAGCUAUAUGAAACCUUAUGUUUUUGGAGGAGAAGAAAUAUAAACCUACUUUCAAUAGUCUAGGAAUGAUAUAAACUUCAAUCCAACAUGUCCUACACAUAAGCAACACCUAUGUAGCCUUUCCUCAACCUUUCCAAUUCUUCCAUUGUUAUCUUUCGUCCCGGCUAGCAUGUGAUAUCCCGUGUCACGUAAGCAAAGUUAUGGCUGGAUCUUAUAUACAUUCGAUCUCACUUCAUGUUAGGUUUUCUAAACCUCAUGUAAAGCACAUAAACUGGAUACAUCCUAUAUCUUCUGGUCUUGCCUUUGGCCAUCUCCAGUCGAAACCAUCGACAUUGGCAUGCAAACGAAGGUCUGCGUUCAAACGUUUGAUCAAGCUGAGAUUUUACUGAGCAGAGAGGGCCAAAUGGGUGCCCGUCACCAGACCUUUUCACGCCUUGCAAAGCUUUUAAUUUCAUCAGAAUUCUCCGCCAAGAAUCCGAUGAUCCAGAAGGUGUAGCCUACGCCGAAUUAGAACAUAUUGUUCCUAAAAUUACAUUGCAUCAAGAUUCAUCCGUGCAAUAUCUACAAGUCCGCAAGAUCUACAUGGCCCCAAGCUUCCAAUGAAACAGAAAAGGGUCCUGUCUUUUUUGAAAAACUAGCUGUACAAAGCUACCGAACAAUAUCUGCUCAUAUCCCACCCGUGUGUCCGUCCAAGUACGAUAUAGCGACCGCUGCGUGGAGAGCGGCUCCGAUGGGUAGAACUUCCUCAUCAAGGAAAAAGUAUGGGGAGUGCAGCGCCUUAUCCGAUCCCAGUGUUGCGUUUUUCAUGCCGAUCAUGAAAAAUGCGGUCCUCAUCUUCUCCGAGUAGAAGCUGAAAUCUUCUGCUCCCAUGGUCAUCGGCAGAAGGUGCACUCGGGAUUCGCCAAGCAGGGCUUCGCUGACGCCUUUUGCAUGCCCGUACAUUGUCUCAUCAUUCACAGUAGCAGGGUAAGGCCUCAUUUUUUCUUCCAUGAAGUCGACCGUCGCGUUGCACCGAUGCACGGCUGCCUGCAACUCUAUUACCUGCAGCAGUUCAGGUGGCGGAAAUUAAAGCUGAUCCUCAUUUCUAAGAAACUAAAUGAUAGAUGAAUGUUGCAAUUUAUGUAUUACAACUUCAAUAAAAACACACAAUACAGGGAGCUUUCAACGCUUCUCUUAUGUCAUCUAAUAAGGAGCAAUCUCAUGCAAACCAGACGACUUGGAAAUUGACGGUAAAUCUAGCGAUGUAUAUGUGGAGCGACAGUCACCUCUUUGAUCCUCUGUUUUAGACUAUACAAGCCAUCUGAAGUCAUGCUCCUAAAAGUUCCUGCAAACCGGACGAUCUCUGGUAUUACGUUCAAAGCUUGGCCACCCUCAAUGAAGCCCACCGUGAUCACCUGUGCAUGAGAUCAAAAUAUACCAACUCUAAUUGGGGGAAUUCAGGCAAUACAUAAAAGGAAAAAGAAGUUACAGCACGCAAAAACAGAGAAUGGUUUGGGUCAUUUUGUUAAGGUGUUUAAGAAUAAUGAAUUUACCUGGGCCACAAGAGGAUCUGUUUCUCGGGAUAUGAUAUGCUGGAGUGCGGUAAUUGCAGAUGCAGCGGCGAGAAUGGGAUCGACAGUCACGUGUGGGUUCGCCGCAUGCCCUCCCUUUCCUUGUAUUGUGGCUGAGAAUCUACCAGCCCCUGCUAGCAUUGGACCAGGUCUCGAACCGACGCUGCCGGUUUCCAUAAGUGGCAAAACAUGUAAGCCAAAGAUGGCUUGGAACUGAUCGAGUGCCCCUUCUCGUAGCAUAUGGUAUGCACCGGCACGACCUUCUUCUCCGGGUUGGAAGACGAGUUUGAUCGUGCC
This 7318-nucleotide long non-coding RNA is filed under the name Eucalyptus grandis. Its description in RNAcentral is "long non-coding RNA (EGRA_LNC006532)". The record is from RNAcentral. Lineage: Eukaryota; Viridiplantae; Streptophyta; Magnoliopsida; Myrtales; Myrtaceae.